AAGUCGUAACAAGGUUUCCGUAGGUGAACCUGCGGAAGGAUCAUUACAGAGUUCAUGCCCGAAAGGGCAGACCUCCCACCCUUGUGUAUUUAUACUUUGUUGCUUUGGCGGGCCGCCACAAGGCUCUCGGCUUCGGCUGGGGCGUGCCCGCCAGAGGACCAUCAAACUCUGAAUGUUAGUGUCGUCUGAGUACUAUAUAAUAGUUAAAA
RNAcentral lists this unclassified non-coding RNA (209 nucleotides) under plant metagenome. RNAcentral describes it as "partial contains small subunit ribosomal RNA and internal transcribed spacer 1". The stretch from base 1 to 46 matches the Rfam family "Eukaryotic small subunit ribosomal RNA", at positions 1786 to 1831 of the family's 1831-position model. The record is from RNAcentral.